Molecule: ribosomal RNA, 690 nt
Filed under: Butea monosperma (flame-of-the-forest)
Lineage: Eukaryota; Viridiplantae; Streptophyta; Magnoliopsida; Fabales; Fabaceae
Description: eukaryotic LSU rRNA
Rfam family: 5.8S ribosomal RNA (bases 261-412)
Source: RNAcentral
CGAGCGUAGUGACCUGCGGAGGAUCAUUGUCGAUGCCUCGCAACCAACCCGACCGGCGAAUCUGUUUAUCUACCCGGGGUCGGAUCGGGGCGUGUUCAACACCCCGACCUCCCCUCGCGUCGGGAGGCGGCCCGGCCUCCUCUCGACGAGACACAAACCCCGGCGCUUCGUGUGCCAAGGAAUCAAGAAUUGUUCGGUGCGGUCCCGGGGACCCGGAGACGGUGCUCCCGCGGGUCUUGUCACGACACACGAUACAAAACGACUCUCGGCAACGGAUAUCUCGGCUCUUGCAUCGAUGAAGAACGUAGCGAAAUGCGAUACUUGGUGUGAAUUGCAGAAUCCCGUGAACCAUCGAGUCUUUGAACGCAAGUUGCGCCCGAAGCCAUCUGAGGGCACGCCUGCCUGGGUGUCACACAUCGUUACCCUCACGCAAACGUCCCGAGUCGGCCGUUGCGUGGUAGGGUGUAUGCUGGCCUCCCGCGAGCGCCGUCUCGUGGUUGGUUGAAAAGCGGGUUCGUGGCCGAGCGCGCCGUGAUAGAAUGGUGGACGGGCAACGCUCGAGACCGAUCACGUGCGGCCCGGUCGGGUAAGGACCGUCCGACCCCCGUGCGUCCCUGGACGCUCCCGGCGAGACCUCAGGUCAGGCGGGACCACCCGCUGAGUUUAAGCAUAUCAUAAGGGGGAAGGAAA